RNAcentral lists this ribosomal RNA (369 nucleotides) under Burkholderia sp. CK31. RNAcentral describes it as "partial 16S ribosomal RNA". It matches the Rfam family "Bacterial small subunit ribosomal RNA", at positions 602 to 972 of the family's 1533-position model. The record is from RNAcentral. Lineage: Bacteria; Pseudomonadati; Pseudomonadota; Betaproteobacteria; Burkholderiales; Burkholderiaceae.
CCCGGGCUCAACCUGGGAACUGCAUUGGUGACUGCAUCGCUAGAGUAUGGCAGAGGGGGGUAGAAUUCCACGUGUAGCAGUGAAAUGCGUAGAGAUGUGGAGGAAUACCGAUGGCGAAGGCAGCCCCCUGGGUCAAAAAAAAAAAUCAUGCACGAAAGCGUGGGGAGCAAACAGGAUUAGAUACCCUGGUAGUCCACGCCCUAAACGAUGUCAACUGGUUGUCGGGUCUUCAUUGACUUGGUAACGUAGCUAACGCGUGAAGUUGACCGCCUGGGGAGUACGGUCGCAAGAUUAAAACUCAAAGGAAUUGACGGGGACCCGCACAAGCGGGGAAGAUGUGGAUUAAUUCGAUGCAACGCGAAAAACUUU